CCUCAGUGGUAGAGUGUCCGCUUCGCAUGCGGAAAGUCACGGGUUCGAACCCCGU
Molecule: transfer RNA, 55 nt
Filed under: Caligus rogercresseyi
Lineage: Eukaryota; Metazoa; Arthropoda; Copepoda; Siphonostomatoida; Caligidae
Rfam family: tRNA
About the family: Transfer RNA (tRNA) molecules are approximately 80 nucleotides in length. Their secondary structure includes four short double-helical elements and three loops (D, anti-codon, and T loops). Further hydrogen bonds mediate the characteristic L-shaped molecular structure. tRNAs have two regions of fundamental functional importance: the anti-codon, which is responsible for specific mRNA codon recognition, and the 3' end, to which the tRNAs corresponding amino acid is attached (by aminoacyl-tRNA synthetases). tRNAs cope with the degeneracy of the genetic code in two manners: having more than one tRNA (with a specific anti-codon) for a particular amino acid; and 'wobble' base-pairing, i.e. permitting non-standard base-pairing at the 3rd anti-codon position.
Source: Rfam by way of RNAcentral